This 82-nucleotide transfer RNA is filed under the name Daphnia pulex (common water flea). RNAcentral's name for it is "tRNA-Ser". It matches the Rfam family "tRNA". Rfam says of the family: Transfer RNA (tRNA) molecules are approximately 80 nucleotides in length. The record is from RNAcentral. Lineage: Eukaryota; Metazoa; Arthropoda; Branchiopoda; Diplostraca; Daphniidae.
GCAGAUAUGGCCAAGUGGUUAAGGCGACUGACUCGAAAUCAGUUUCCAUCUUGGAGCGUAGGUUCGAAUCCUACUAUCUGCG